AAAGGCGCUUUCGGGUGUCGCUGAUGGAUGGACCCGCGGUGCAUUAGCUAGUUGGUGAGGUAACGGCUCACCAAGGCCACGAUGCAUAGCCGACCUGAGAGGGUGAUCGGCCACAUUGGGACUGAGACACGGCCCAAACUCCUACGGGAGGCAGCAGUAGGGAAUCUUCGGCAAUGGACGAAAGUCUGACCGAGCAACGCCGCGUGAGUGAAGAAGGUUUUCGGAUCGUAAAACUCUGUUGUUAGAGAAGAACAAGGAUGAGAGUAACUGUUCAUCCCUUGACGGUAUCUAACCAGAAAGCCACGGCUAACUACGUGCCAGCAGCCGCGGUAAUACGUAGGUGGCAAGCGUUGUCCGGAUUUAUUGGGCGUAAAGCGAGCGCA
Molecule: ribosomal RNA, 383 nt
Filed under: Enterococcus faecium
Lineage: Bacteria; Bacillati; Bacillota; Bacilli; Lactobacillales; Enterococcaceae
Description: bacterial SSU rRNA
Rfam family: Bacterial small subunit ribosomal RNA
Source: RNAcentral